Molecule: ribosomal RNA, 262 nt
Filed under: uncultured bacterium
Lineage: Bacteria
Description: partial 16S ribosomal RNA
Rfam family: Bacterial small subunit ribosomal RNA
Source: RNAcentral
CGAAGGGCGUAGCGUUGCUCGGAAUUACUGGGCGUAAAGGGACGCGUAGGCGGUCGAUUUUAGUUCAGGCGGUGAAAUUACCCGGGCGUUAAACCUCGGGGACGUGCGCUUGAUACUGGGUGACUUGAGGGUGGAAGAGGGUCGUGGAAUUCCCAGUGUAGAGGUGAAAUUCGUAGAUAUUGGGAAGAACACCGGUGGCGAAGGCGGCGACCUGGUCCAUUACUGACGCUGAGGCGCGACAGCGUGGGGAGCAAACAGGAUU